Molecule: ribosomal RNA, 431 nt
Filed under: uncultured bacterium
Lineage: Bacteria
Description: bacterial SSU rRNA
Rfam family: Bacterial small subunit ribosomal RNA
Source: RNAcentral
ACGAACGCUGGCGGCAUGCCUAACACAUGCAAGUCGAACGCCCCGCAAGGGGAGUGGCGCACGGGUGAGUAACGCGUGGGGAUCUGCCCAUCGGUGGGGAAUAACCUCGGGAAACUGAGGCUAAUACCGCAUACGCCCUGUAAAGGGGAAAGAUUUAUCGCCGAUGGAUGAACCCGCGUCCGAUUAGCUUGUUGGUGAGGUAAUGGCUCACCAAGGCUUCGAUCGGUAGCUGGUCUGAGAGGAUGACCAGCCACACUGGGACUGAGACACGGCCCAGACUCCUACGGGAGGCAGCAGUGGGGAAUAUUGGACAAUGGGCGCAAGCCUGAUCCAGCCAUGCCGCGUGAGUGACGAAGGCCUUAGGGUUGUAAAGCUCUUUUGGCGGGGAAGAUAAUGACGGUACCCGCAGAAUAAGCUCCGGCUAACUUCGU